GUCCACGCUGUAAACGAUGAUCACUAGACGUCAGAUCUGUUUUUACAGAAUUGGUGUCGUAGCUAACGCGAUAAGUGAUCCGCCUGGGGACUACGGUCGCAAGAUUAAAACUCAAAGGAAUUGACGGGGGUCCGCACAAGCGGUGGAACAUGUGGUUUAAUUCGACAAUACGCGAGAAACCUUACCUAGGCUUGACAUGCUUUUGACAUCCGUGGAAACACGGCUUUCCGGGCUUCGGUUCGGACAAUUGCACAGGUGCUGCAUGGUUGUCGU
RNAcentral lists this ribosomal RNA (273 nucleotides) under uncultured bacterium. RNAcentral's name for it is "partial 16S ribosomal RNA". It matches the Rfam family "Bacterial small subunit ribosomal RNA", at positions 793 to 1055 of the family's 1533-position model. The record is from RNAcentral.